This 253-nucleotide ribosomal RNA is filed under the name uncultured bacterium. RNAcentral describes it as "partial 16S ribosomal RNA". It matches the Rfam family "Bacterial small subunit ribosomal RNA", at positions 524 to 776 of the family's 1533-position model. The record is from RNAcentral.
UACGAAGGGGGCAAGCGUUGUUCGGAAUUACUGGGCGUAAAGGGCGCGUAGGCGGCUUAUCAAGUCAGGCGUGAAAUUCCCGGGCUCAACCUGGGGGCUGCGCUUGAUACUGAUGAGCUUGAAUGCGGGAGAGGAUAGUGGAAUUUCGAGUGUAGGGGUGAAAUCCGUAGAUAUUCGAAGGAACACCGGUGGCGAAGGCGGCUAUCUGGACCGAUACUGACGCUGAGACGCGAAAGCGUGGGGAGCAAACAGG